RNAcentral lists this ribosomal RNA (253 nucleotides) under uncultured bacterium. Its description in RNAcentral is "partial 16S ribosomal RNA". It matches the Rfam family "Bacterial small subunit ribosomal RNA", at positions 524 to 776 of the family's 1533-position model. The record is from RNAcentral.
UACGAAGGGGGCUAGCGUUGUUCGGAAUCACUGGGCGUAAAGGGCGCGUAGGCGGCUAGAUGUGUCAAAGGUGAAAUCCCUCGGCUCAACUGAGGAACUGCCUUUGAAACUGUCUGGCUUGAGGCCGGGAGAGGGUAGCGGAAUUCCCAGUGUAGCGGUGAAAUGCGUAGAUAUUGGGAGGAACACCAGUGGCGAAGGCGGCUACCUGGACCGGUUCUGACGCUGAGGCGCGAAAGCGUGGGUAGCAAACAGG